UCACGUUAGGUGGAAUGGUGACCUUGG
This 27-nucleotide non-coding RNA is filed under the name Homo sapiens (human). The record is from RNAcentral. Lineage: Eukaryota; Metazoa; Chordata; Mammalia; Primates; Hominidae.